This 497-nucleotide ribosomal RNA is filed under the name uncultured bacterium. RNAcentral's name for it is "partial 16S ribosomal RNA". It matches the Rfam family "Bacterial small subunit ribosomal RNA", at positions 28 to 507 of the family's 1533-position model. The record is from RNAcentral.
GAUGAACGCUGGCGGCGUGCCUAAUACAUGCAAGUCGAGCGAACAGAUGGGGAGCUUGCUCCUCUGACGUUAGCGGCGGACGGGUGAGUAGCACGUGGAUAACCUACCUAUAAGACUGGGAUAACUUCGGGAAACCGGAGCUAAUACCGGAUAAUAUAUUGAACCGCAUGGUUCAAUAGUGAAAGACGGUUUUGCUGUCACUUAUAGAUGGAUCCGCGCCGCAUUAGCUAGUUGGUAAGGUAACGGCUUACCAAGGCAACGAUGCGUAGCCGACCUGAGAGGGUGAUAGGCCACACGGGAACUGAGACACGGUCCAGACUCCUACGGGAGGCAGCAGUAGGGAAUCUUCCGCAAUGGGCGAAAGCCUGACGGAGCAACGCCGCGUGAGUGAUGAAGGUCUUCGGAUCGUAAAACUCUGUUAUUAGGGAAGAACAAAUGUGUAAGUAACUAUGCACGUCUUGACGGUACCUAAUCAGAAAGCCACGGCUAACUACGUG